This 120-nucleotide ribosomal RNA is filed under the name Helianthus annuus (common sunflower). Lineage: Eukaryota; Viridiplantae; Streptophyta; Magnoliopsida; Asterales; Asteraceae. The record is from RNAcentral.
GAUUGCGAUCAUACCAGCACUAAUGCACUGGAUCCCAUCAGAACUCCGCAGUUAAGCGUGCUUGGGCGAGAGUAGUACUAGGAUGGGUGACCCCCUGGGAAGUCCUCGUGUUGCAACCCC